This 272-nucleotide ribosomal RNA is filed under the name uncultured Marinobacter sp. Its description in RNAcentral is "partial 16S ribosomal RNA". It matches the Rfam family "Bacterial small subunit ribosomal RNA", at positions 1112 to 1382 of the family's 1533-position model. The record is from RNAcentral. Lineage: Bacteria; Pseudomonadati; Pseudomonadota; Gammaproteobacteria; Pseudomonadales; Marinobacteraceae.
UAGUUGCUAGCAGUUCGGCUGAGAACUCUAGGGAGACUGCCCGGUGGACAAACCGGAGGAAGGUGGGGAUGACGUCAGGUCAUCAUGGCCCUUACGGCCAGGGCUACACACGUGCUACAAUGGCGCGCACAGAGGGCUGCAAACCCGCGAGGGGGAGCCAAUCUCACAAACGCGUCGUAGUCCGGAUCGCAGUCUGCAACUCGACUGCGUGAAGUCGGAAUCGCUAGUAAUCGUGAAUCAAGAAUGUCACGGUGAAUACGUUCCCGGGCCUU